UUUGUGGAAGCUUCGUUCUUUUGCUCUUUGCAAGAAAUCUUGCUACUGCUCACUCUUUGGGUCCAUGCUGCCUUUAUGAGCUGUAACACUCACCGUGGAGGUCUGCACCUUCACUCCUGAGCCAGCGGGACCACGAACCCACCAGAAGGAAGAAACUCCCAACAUCAAAACGAACAAACUCUGGACAGGCCACCUUUAAGAACCGUAACACUCAGGCGAGGUUUUGCAGUCUCAUUCUUGGAGUCAGUGAAACCAAGAACCCACCAAUUCCGGACACGAGUGCAGAGUUGAUGUGAGAAGAAGCUAAUAUGGCACCAGGAUUACAAAGCUUAACAAGUCAUGAUUUAGAUUCAGAAGUUACAAAGAGUGGAAAAGGUCAUAUUCUUUCUUAUGAGGAGACAAGAACUCAGGUUGCUGCAGAUCCAUAUGGAGGAUAUGCCUCUGGUUACAUAUUUUGGUGCCAUGUGAGUCGGAUACGUUCUGUUGCUAACAAUACAGUACGUAACCUUUUGAGAAUGGCUUCCUUCACUCAACGUGAUGCUUUUGAGAUUCAUCCAAGUUGUUAUGGGCAUCAGUUGCCAGCUCUUUUUAAUGGAAAGUAAAUCUACUUGCAAA
This 615-nucleotide long non-coding RNA is filed under the name Homo sapiens (human). RNAcentral's name for it is "HSALNT0315186". The record is from RNAcentral. Lineage: Eukaryota; Metazoa; Chordata; Mammalia; Primates; Hominidae.